RNAcentral lists this ribosomal RNA (492 nucleotides) under uncultured bacterium. Its description in RNAcentral is "partial 16S ribosomal RNA". It matches the Rfam family "Bacterial small subunit ribosomal RNA", at positions 29 to 507 of the family's 1533-position model. The record is from RNAcentral.
AGUGAACGCUGGCGGUAGGCCUAACACAUGCAAGUCGAACGGCAGCACAGUAAGAGCUUGCUCUUACGGGUGGCGAGUGGCGGACGGGUGAGGAAUACAUCGGAAUCUACUUUUUCGUGGGGGAUAACGUAGGGAAACUUACGCUAAUACCGCAUACGACCUACGGGUGAAAGCAGGGGAUCUUCGGACCUUGCGCGAUUGAAUGAGCCGAUGUCGGAUUAGCUAGUUGGCGGGGUAAAGGCCCACCAAGGCGACGAUCCGUAGCUGGUCUGAGAGGAUGAACAGCCACACUGGAACUGAGACACGGUCCAGACUCCUAAGGGAGGCAGCAGCGGGGAAUAUUGGAAAAUGGGCGCAAGCCUGAUCCAGCCAUACCGCGUGGGUGAAGAAGGCCUUCGGGUUGGAAAGCCCUUUUGUUGGGAAAGAAAAGCAGCAGGGUAAAAACCCGCUGUUCUGAAGGUAACCAAAGAAUAAGCAACGGCUAAAUUCGUG